AGGACGAACGCUGGCGGCGUGCUUAACACAUGCAAGUCGAGCGGAAAGGCCCCUUCGGGGUACUCGAGCGGCGAACGGGUGAGUAACACGUGAGUAAUCUGCCCCUAGCUCUGGGAUAAGCUCCGGGAAACCGGGAUUAAUACCGGAUAUGACCACUUUAGACAUCUGUUGUGGUGGAAAGAAUUUCGGCUAGGGAUGAGCUCGCGGCCUAUCAGCUUGUUGGUGGGUAACGGCCUACCAAGGCGACGACGGGUA
This 255-nucleotide ribosomal RNA is filed under the name uncultured bacterium. Its description in RNAcentral is "partial small subunit ribosomal RNA". It matches the Rfam family "Bacterial small subunit ribosomal RNA", at positions 26 to 285 of the family's 1533-position model. The record is from RNAcentral.